This 650-nucleotide ribosomal RNA is filed under the name uncultured bacterium. RNAcentral's name for it is "bacterial SSU rRNA". It matches the Rfam family "Bacterial small subunit ribosomal RNA", at positions 9 to 649 of the family's 1533-position model. The record is from RNAcentral.
GAGUUUGAUCCUGGCUCAGGAUGAACGCUGGCGGCGUGCCUAACACAUGCAAGUCGAACGGAGCCUUAACCAAAGAAGCAGCCAGCUUGCUGGAAGCGGAAAAGGGAAAGGCUUAGUGGCGGACGGGUGAGUAACGCGUGGGUAACCUGGCCCAUACAGGGGGAUAACACUUAGAAAUAGGUGCUAAUACCGCAUAACAACAGAAAGCGCAUGCUUUCUGUUUGAAAACCAAGGUGGUAUGGGAUGGACCCGCGUCUGAUUAGCUGGUUGGCGGGGUAAAGGCCCACCAAGGCGACGAUCAGUAGCCGGCCUGAGAGGGUGGACGGCCACAUUGGGACUGAGACACGGCCCAAACUCCUACGGGAGGCAGCAGUGGGGAAUAUUGCACAAUGGGGGAAACCCUGAUGCAGCGACGCCGCGUGAGUGAAGAAGUAAUUCGUUAUGUAAAGCUCUAUCAGCAGGGAAGAAAAUGACGGUACCUGAGUAAGAAGCCCCGGCUAACUACGUGCCAGCAGCCGCGGUAAUACGUAGGGGGCAAGCGUUAUCCGGAUUUACUGGGUGUAAAGGGAGCGUAGACGGCAGUGCAAGUCUGGAGUGAAAGGCGGGGGCUCAACCCCCGGACUGCUCUGGAAACUGUACGGCUGGAGUGC